RNAcentral lists this unclassified non-coding RNA (268 nucleotides) under air metagenome. Its description in RNAcentral is "partial contains small subunit ribosomal RNA, internal transcribed spacer 1, and 5.8S ribosomal RNA". The stretch from base 1 to 46 matches the Rfam family "Eukaryotic small subunit ribosomal RNA", at positions 1786 to 1831 of the family's 1831-position model. The record is from RNAcentral.
AAGUCGUAACAAGGUCUCCGUUGGUGAACCAGCGGAGGGAUCAUUGCUGGAAGCGCCGCAAGGCGCACCCAGAAACCCUUUGUGAACUUAUACCUACAUCGUUGCCUCGGCGUUGGCUGCCCCUCCCCCCUAGCGGGGAGGGGGCCCUCCCCCUGUGGGAGGACAGCAGGCCCGCCGGCGGCCCAUUAAACUCUUGUUUUUACCGAGUAACUUCUGAGUAAAGCUUCUAAAUGAAUCAAAACUUUCAACAACGGAUCUCUUGGUUCUG